RNAcentral lists this ribosomal RNA (1369 nucleotides) under uncultured bacterium. Its description in RNAcentral is "bacterial SSU rRNA". It matches the Rfam family "Bacterial small subunit ribosomal RNA", at positions 28 to 1381 of the family's 1533-position model. The record is from RNAcentral.
GACGAACGCUGGCGGCGUGCCUAAUACAUGCAAGUAGAACGCUGAAGAGAGGAGCUUGCUCUUCUUGGAUGAGUUGCGAACGGGUGAGUAACGCGUAGGUAACCUGCCUUGUAGCGGGGGAUAACUAUUGGAAACGAUAGCUAAUACCGCAUAACAAUGGAUGACACAUGUCAUUUAUUUGAAAGGGGCAAUUGCUCCACUACAAGAUGGACCUGCGUUGUAUUAGCUAGUAGGUGAGGUAACGGCUCACCUAGGCGACGAUACAUAGCCGACCUGAGAGGGUGAUCGGCCACACUGGGACUGAGACACGGCCCAGACUCCUACGGGAGGCAGCAGUAGGGAAUCUUCGGCAAUGGGGGCAACCCUGACCGAGCAACGCCGCGUGAGUGAAGAAGGUUUUCGGAUCGUAAAGCUCUGUUGUAAGUCAAGAACGAGUGUGAGAGUGGAAAGUUCACACUGUGACGGUAGCUUACCAGAAAGGGACGGCUAACUACGUGCCAGCAGCCGCGGUAAUACGUAGGUCCCGAGCGUUGUCCGGAUUUAUUGGGCGUAAAGCGAGCGCAGGCGGUUUGAUAAGUCUGAAGUUAAAGGCUGUGGCUCAACCAUAGUUCGCUUUGGAAACUGUCAAACUUGAGUGCAGAAGGGGAGAGUGGAAUUCCGUGUGUAGCGGUGAAAUGCGUAGAUAUAUGGAGGAACACCGGUGGCGAAAGCGGCUCUCUGGUCUGUAACUGACGCUGAGGCUCGAAAGCGUGGGGAGCGAACAGGAUUAGAUACCCUGGUAGUCCACGCCGUAAACGAUGAGUGCUAGGUGUUGGAUCCUUUCCGGGAUUCAGUGCCGCAGCUAACGCAUUAAGCACUCCGCCUGGGGAGUACGACCGCAAGGUUGAAACUCAAAGGAAUUGACGGGGGCCCGCACAAGCGGUGGAGCAUGUGGUUUAAUUCGAAGCAACGCGAAGAACCUUACCAGGUCUUGACAUCCCGAUGCUAUUUCUAGAGAUAGAAAGUUACUUCGGUACAUCGGUGACAGGUGGUGCAUGGUUGUCGUCAGCUCGUGUCGUGAGAUGUUGGAUUAAGUCCCGCAACGAGCGCAACCCCUAUUGUUAGUUGCCAUCAUUCAGUUGGGCACUCUAGCGAGACUGCCGGUAAUAAACCGGAGGAAGGUGGGGAUGACGUCAAAUCAUCAUGCCCCUUAUGACCUGGGCUACACACGUGCUACAAUGGUUGGUACAACGAGUUGCGAGUCGGUGACGGCAAGCUAAUCUCUUAAAGCCAAUCUCAGUUCGGAUUGUAGGCUGCAACUCGCCUACAUGAAGUCGGAAUCGCUAGUAAUCGCGGAUCAGCACGCCGCGGUGAAUACGUUCCCGGGCCU